This 61-nucleotide microRNA precursor is filed under the name Ornithorhynchus anatinus (platypus). Its description in RNAcentral is "Oan-Mir-23-P3_pre stem-loop". It matches the Rfam family "mir-23 microRNA precursor family", at positions 9 to 69 of the family's 73-position model. Lineage: Eukaryota; Metazoa; Chordata; Mammalia; Monotremata; Ornithorhynchidae. The record is from RNAcentral.
GGGGUUCCUGGUGAUGCGAUUUUCUUGUGCUCGCCAAAAUCACAUUGCCAGGGAUUUCCAA